GAACGUGCAGACAAAAAAGCUGGUCCUGUUGGCCCGGGUUCAUAUUGGUGAGUUACCUUUUCUCAUUGCAAUUCUGAACUUUUGCUGUAUUUUUAGCAAAUGUUGUAUAUGAUGUUGGCCUUGAUCAUUAUGGACUUUAGCACCCCUUAACCAGACAAUAGAGCUUUCUUAUCUAAUCGAUUCAUGCUACAAUCAAGUGACCCCAAAAUUGAUCUGUUUUAUCAUUCAGAAUAAAUAUAAAUAGUUAAUCGUCACUCAUGAGAGGCUCCCCUUUGGUUAAUGUCAGUAGAUAUGAGCAGAGCUCAAUCGUAGUGUCAUACAACAAGUUUUCCCUAUUGCAUUAUUAUUAUGGGCCACAGUUUUUUCCGAUUUGGAUGUUCUUUUAUUCUGGGAUUUUUAAUCGAAUGCACUCUACUUUUCUUUUUGAAGUUUAAUUUAUUAUCAAGUUCUCUCUUUCUAUGGACCACCAGAUGAUUUUCUGCUGAGCUCUUAAGUUACAUUUAACACUGUGAAGCAUUAUACAAUAAGCUUAGAAUGCUAUUUAUAUCAGCAGGAGAUUAGGCGGAAACGGCUUAUUUGUCUCAGGAUUUGCUGGGCCUAAUAAGGGAUCAACGAGAACAAAGAUACAAAAGUAGAAGAACAUGCACACACUGACACUUUAUGUUUGUUCUCUAACAAAAUGAUUUCAGAAUGAGAAACCUUGUGUUCAGUCGGAGAAAAUGAUUGCCAGUUGUGGAACCAAAAAGUUAGCCCAUGUGUGUGGGUCGUUGCCCCUAGCUGGACUCCACAAAAGCUUUCAGUUGUAUGCAAUAGCAUCCUGGUAUCAGCUCCUCUGGCUGUCUGGCCGGAAGAGCUCGCAACUUCUGUCAGCUGUGCGCACAAAGGGCGCAUGUGUUCUUGCAUGUUGGUUCUUCAAUAUAGAGCUUCAAGCAAGUGUUUUGUUGUUCUGAUCAUGUCACUGCAACUCAGACGAAAUUUUGCUUACAUGACUCCAUGAGGCCUCUACUACAGAAGUUUUAUGCGAAGUGCAACAAGUUUAGGCUGCACAUAACCUGUAGCUGUGCACGUCAAUGUGGUCUGCACGUCAAUGUGCUCAAUUUGUUGAAAAUUCAAGCAUUGUUCCCAUAGCUAAGCCGAGAGAAGGGUUGACAGGAAAAACUAAGCAUCAUCACGUUUCGUAUAAAAUAGUACCUCUUCUUUCUUUUUGGGAUGUAAAACAGUAGCUAACCGAACCAUUGUGCACUAAUAGUUCCAAUCUAGCAAGCCACUA
Non-coding RNA from Lolium perenne, 1270 nucleotides. The record is from RefSeq and is a predicted model, not a curated record. Lineage: Eukaryota; Viridiplantae; Streptophyta; Magnoliopsida; Poales; Poaceae.